RNAcentral lists this ribosomal RNA (460 nucleotides) under uncultured bacterium. RNAcentral describes it as "partial 16S ribosomal RNA". It matches the Rfam family "Bacterial small subunit ribosomal RNA", at positions 338 to 795 of the family's 1533-position model. The record is from RNAcentral.
CCUACGGGAGGCAGCAGUGAGGAAUAUUGGUCAAUGGACGAGAGUCUGAACCAGCCAAGUAGCGUGAAGGAUGACUGCCCUAUCGGUUGUAAACUUCUUUUAUAUGGGAAUAAAAUGUUCCACGUGUGGGAUUUUGUAUGUACCAUAUGAAUAAGGAUCGGCUAACUCCGUGCCAGCAGCCGCGGUAAUACGGAGGAUCCGAGCGUUAUCCGGAUUUAUUGGGUUUAAAGGGAGCGUAGGUGGAUUGUUAAGUCAGUUGUGAAAGUUUGCGGCUCAACCGUAAAAUUGCAGUUGAAACUGGCAGUCUUGAGUACAGUAGAGGUGGGCGGAAUUCGUGGUGUAGCGGUGAAAUGCUUAGAUAUCACGAAGAACUCCGAUUGCGAAGGCAGUUCACUGGACUGCAACUGACACUGAGGCUCGAAAGUGUGGGUAUCAAACAGGAUUAGAUACCCCAGUAGUC